UGACCUCGGAUCAGGUAGGAAUACCCGCUGAACUUAAGCAUAUCAAUAAGCGGAGGAAAU
RNAcentral lists this ribosomal RNA (60 nucleotides) under Colletotrichum fructicola. Its description in RNAcentral is "partial 28S ribosomal RNA". It matches the Rfam family "Eukaryotic large subunit ribosomal RNA", at positions 1 to 60 of the family's 3401-position model. The record is from RNAcentral. Lineage: Eukaryota; Fungi; Ascomycota; Sordariomycetes; Glomerellales; Glomerellaceae.